UCCGGUUUGGCACCGGCAGUCUCCCUAGAGUUCCCGGCAUGACCCGCUGGCAACUAGGGACAAGGGUUGCGCUCGUUGCGCCACUUAAGGCAACACCUCACGGCACGAGCUGACGACAGCCAUGCACCACCUGUGCAGGCUCCGUAGAGCGCCGGCUUUCACCGGCUUUGCCCUGCAUGUCAAGCCUAGGUAAGGUUCUUCGCGUUGCAUCGAAUUAAGCCACAUGCUCCACCGCUUGUGCGGGCCCCCGUCAAUUCCUUUGAGUUUCAGUCUUGCGACCGUACUCCCCAGGCGGCGAACUUAACGCGUUAGCUGCGGCACGGAAGACGUCGAUAGCCUCCCACACCUAGCACCCAUCGUUUACGGCUGGGACUAC
RNAcentral lists this unclassified non-coding RNA (376 nucleotides) under uncultured Actinomycetes bacterium. Its description in RNAcentral is "uncultured actinobacterium contains 16S-23S intergenic spacer region". The record is from RNAcentral. Lineage: Bacteria; Bacillati; Actinomycetota; Actinomycetes.